CAGGAAACCUCGUUCCAGCACAGAUGGUCCUGACUGACAACCCCAGCCAGCCUUGGGAGCAAUAGUUGAGAUAAAUCUAAAAUUAUAGGGUCUUCCCACAAAGGAUCCUGGAAAGGCAUGGAAAGAGCCUGACUACACUUAAUGGAGAUGCUCCACAGAUGCAAGUUUUUCGCCACAAAAUACAGCUUUGCAAGGUCACUUCUGUUUGCUCACUUUGUGGCAGCCAUUUUUAUUUCUUUAAAUA
This 244-nucleotide long non-coding RNA is filed under the name Homo sapiens (human). Its description in RNAcentral is "non-protein coding lnc-DPYS-2:2". The record is from RNAcentral. Lineage: Eukaryota; Metazoa; Chordata; Mammalia; Primates; Hominidae.